Molecule: ribosomal RNA, 497 nt
Filed under: uncultured bacterium
Lineage: Bacteria
Description: partial 16S ribosomal RNA
Rfam family: Bacterial small subunit ribosomal RNA
Source: RNAcentral
GAUGAACGCUGGCGGCGUGCCUAAUACAUGCAAGUCGAGCGAACAGACGAGGAUCUUGCUCCUCGGACGUUAGCGGCGGACGGGUGAGUAACACGUGGAUCACCUACUUAUAAGACUGGUAUAACUUCGGGACACCGGAGCUAAUACCGGAGAAUAUCUUGAACCGCAUGGUUCAAUAGUGAAUGACGGUUUUGCUGUCACUUCUAGAGGGAUCUCCGCCGCAUUAGCUAGUUGUUAAGUUAACGGCUUACCAAGGCAACGAUGCGUAGCCGACCGGAGAGGGUGGUAGGCCACACUGGAACUGAGACACGGUCCAGGCGCCUGCGAGAGGCAGCAGUCGGGUAUCUGACGCAGUGGGCGAAAGCCUGACGGAGCAAGGCCGAGUGAGAGAUGAAGGUCUUCGGAUCGUAAAAAUCUGUUAUGAGGGAAGAACAAAUGUGUAAGUAACUAUGCCCGUCUUGACGGUAACUAAUCAGAAAGCAACGGCUAACUACGUG